UCUUUUUAUGACCAUCUCUUCGAUGAAAGUGUGACAGUUAAGUGCAAUGGAAACCUGUGGAGGUGUUUCUCUAAGUGCUUUAGCUGCUUAAAGCAAAAAUCAUGGUGCUUGGUGAUCUGAGGAGCCGAACUGUGAGACAAGGAAAAUGUAGAGUUUUGGAAGUAUGGAGUGGAGUUUGAGGUGAGGUUUGUACAUCCACAAAAAGACACCAAAUAGGCAGGUGAAAAUGUGGUUUAGAGCUCAGAAGAGAUGCUUGAGCUAAAGUUGUGCAAUGUGAAACUCAUACAUCUGAGUUAGCACCUGGAGCUGUUGGCAUUGGCGGCGAGAUGGCUCUAUGAAAACCUUCUUGGUGCUCACAUAUAUCCAGAAGUAAAAAGAAAACAACAAACAAACAAACAAAACAAAAAAGAGAAGGCUUUAGAAUGGUGCUCAGAGAAGGAAGAAAACUCAAUUCUACAAUGUAAUGCGAGGAUGUGGGGAGACUACUGCAACAGGGCAUGGGGGCCAUGAAAAAAGAAACUAGUACAUAUUAACUGUCUACCAUGGCCUGAUGUGGCGCUGGGCACCAUCAUGCAGUUACCUUUCACAUGCAUAAUCUUGUUUAAUUUUCCCAAUUAUCUUGCGAAGUCCACUAGUGCUUGGAAAGUUUUGAUAAUUUGCCCACGCGCACCUCAUUAGUGCUGGAACUGUGCAGUUAAGAUAUGUCUGACUCUAAAGUCCAUGCUCAACAGCAUUAAAUCCAUGUGCAGAAAUCCACAGAAAAUAAGUGAAAGAAGGAGAUGAGAUCAUUGGUAUCUUCGGGUGAUAGCUGUCUCAGUAGAAAGAAAGAGAAGUUUAGGUGGAAAAAAAAAGCAGUAAGGAAACAGAAGCAAUGAUUAUAGAUUAUGCAUUCCUUAAAUGUGACUCUGAAUGCAAAGAGAGGAAUGUAUGUCAUUCCCAACA
RNAcentral lists this long non-coding RNA (942 nucleotides) under Homo sapiens (human). RNAcentral describes it as "non-protein coding lnc-LYPD6-15:1". Lineage: Eukaryota; Metazoa; Chordata; Mammalia; Primates; Hominidae. The record is from RNAcentral.